GUUGUUGUAAUUUUUGGAUAUAAACACUUCCACAACCAUAAAAUUUUUCAAGUUCUACAUGAACAUUUGACAAAAAAACAUUCUGCCAUUUGUUGUCUGAUUUAAAUAAUCUCCUUAUCCAUGUACACUUCAGUGCUAAAAUAAAUGCACUAAGAUUUAUCAUUUUGAGUCCACCAUCUUCAAUAUCAUUUUGUAAAACAUCUCUUUUAAUUCUAUCAAUUGGUGAACUCCAUAUAAAAUUGUACAUAAGUUGAAUAACAUUUUUUAAAAUAUCAUCACUUGGAUUUGGUAAGGAUAUAAAC
This 302-nucleotide long non-coding RNA is filed under the name Mytilus galloprovincialis (Mediterranean mussel). Lineage: Eukaryota; Metazoa; Mollusca; Bivalvia; Mytilida; Mytilidae. The record is from RNAcentral.